AACGAACGCUGGCGGCAUGCCUAACACAUGCAAGUCGAACGAGACCUUCGGGUCUAGUGGCGCACGGGUGCGUAACGCGUGGGAACCUGCCCUUAGGUUCGGAAUAACUCCCCGAAAGGGGUGCUAAUACCGGAUAAUGUCUUCGGACCAAAGAUUUAUCGCCUUUGGAUGGGCCCGCGUUGGAUUAGCUAGUUGGUAGGGUAAAAGCCUACCAAGGCGACGAUCCAUAGCUGGGCUGAGAGGAUGAUCAGCCACACGGGGACUGAGACACGGCCCAAACUCCAGCGGUGGCGGGCGGGGGGGAAGUUUGCAAAAGGGGCGAAGUCCUAAACGAAAACGUCCGGGUGAGCGUAGAUGGUAUGGGGGUUGUAAACAUUUUUAACCGGGGGUGAUAAGGCCACUUCCGGGAGAAUAAACUAGGGCUAACCCUCAA
This 433-nucleotide ribosomal RNA is filed under the name uncultured bacterium. RNAcentral's name for it is "partial 16S ribosomal RNA". It matches the Rfam family "Bacterial small subunit ribosomal RNA", at positions 29 to 507 of the family's 1533-position model. The record is from RNAcentral.